Molecule: microRNA, 22 nt
Filed under: Drosophila melanogaster (fruit fly)
Lineage: Eukaryota; Metazoa; Arthropoda; Insecta; Diptera; Drosophilidae
Description: dme-miR-1015-3p
Source: miRBase by way of RNAcentral
UCCUGGGACAUCUCUCUUGCAG